Molecule: long non-coding RNA, 1516 nt
Filed under: Acromyrmex echinatior (Panamanian leafcutter ant)
Lineage: Eukaryota; Metazoa; Arthropoda; Insecta; Hymenoptera; Formicidae
Description: uncharacterized LOC105152922, transcript variant X4
Source: RNAcentral
CUAGUAAAAUUAUCUUUAAAAAGAGUGUUCCAAUACAAUACACUGCCAGUACUAGCAGUACUGGGUAUCAAUUAUUAAACUUUAUCCCUAGAAUGGAAAGUGGAACCAUUGAAGUUAAUGGAGAAAUUUUUCAUUUUUCAUCUUUCACCCAGGAAAAAAGUUUCAUGAUUGAUAUUCUAAAAAAUUAUUUCGCUAUUAGCACGCAACGCGCUACGACAGCGACUAUUUCCCUAAAUGACAUCAUAAAUAAUAAUCAUAUUGCCACUGCGACUACUGCGGCUUUCGAGAUCAGAUAGUUACAGUGCAAAGAUAAAGAACUCAUGGGUUAUUAUUUGACGCGCGCGUCACGCGUUAUAGACGUUUGGAACUGAGAGCGUUUGAUGCAGUUUUGGUGCUGAAAUAGAGAUUAGCAGCUUAGACGAGAUUCAGAGAAUAUUCACAUGCGAUUUAUGUGAAGAAAUUGUGGGCAGCUUGGAAAUAGUAAAGAGCCAUUCUUGUCUAAUGGGAUAUGCAAAAGCAAUUUUUGAUGAAAAUCUUUAUUUUUAUCCUCAAAGCAAUAAUGGAGACAUACAUUGUACGUCGAAGUGAUGUGAAUAUUUAAGGGAGAAUCAGAAUGUUACGAUCGUAUCGCAAGAUAGAAAAACGAUGGCAAGAAGUCAGCGAAGCAAUAAAAGGCACACAACCAAGACAUUCAGUUUUCAAAUGAGUUACAUGAACAAUGGUGAAAAUUUGGAAGAAAUUACUUAGAUGAGUGAUUUAUGUGAUAACAUGAAAAUUUCUAUAUAAUUCUCUUGAUGUCGCAGGCUACUUUUUCUAAGCCAUUUCUUUCAAACUAUUUAUCGCUACGUUUACAUUGUGAAUUUAGGCCGCGACCUAUAUAAUAAAUGUUCUUGUUUAGUCCCUGUAAGUUAAACAAAGAUACUUAUACUUAUCGUAUAGAUCAUAGAUUAAGCGCACGAUGUAAACAUAGCUAUGUAUAAUCAAAGCUCUCAGUUUUCUUAUGUAGUACACAGACGUAGCUCGAAUACACAAGAUUAUUGUAAAUAUACAGUACUUAUAAUUAUUAAAAUUAUAAAAAUAAAAAACAACAUGAUUUUAUUUUAAAAGUAUACUCUAGUGAAGAGUCCAAAGAAAAUGGAAAAAUCUCUGUAACCGUUUUAUGUGGAUUGUUCAGCGGAGAAGCUGCCAAGUGAGGCGACAAGUUAGUCGGAGAAGAAUGGUUUUUAUGAGUCAUUAAACCUUUUGCGUGACACAUUAUUAAGAAGAGAAACUGUAUCGAAUAUGCCAGUCUGUAACAACAAUAUGAAUAUCGAAGACGAAGAAGAAAAAGAGAAUCUGCACAAAAUGAUAUCUCUAAGAACAGCAAGAAGCAAAGGAUAAACAGAAACUCAAACCAAGAUAGUAUUAUUCUGGCACAAAUAAGCGAGGCAUUACGAGCCGCCGCCGGCAAUUUCUUUGCCAUCAAUUCCAGUAACGAAAGAAGAAGAUUUCGGAAUGAUGAUUUCCUCGCAACUUC